UACGAAGGGUGCAAGCGUUACUCGGAAUUACUGGGCGUAAAGCGUGCGUAGGUGGUUUGUUAAGUCUGAUGUGAAAGCCCUGGGCUCAACCUGGGAAUGGCAUUGGAUACUGGCGAGCUAGAGUGCGGUAGAGGGUAGUGGAAUUCCCGGUGUAGCAGUGAAAUGCGUAGAUAUCGGAAGGAACAUCAGUGGCGAAAGCGGCUUCCUGGACCAGCACCGACGUUCAGGCACGAAAGCGUGGGGAGCAAACAGG
RNAcentral lists this ribosomal RNA (253 nucleotides) under uncultured bacterium. RNAcentral's name for it is "partial 16S ribosomal RNA". It matches the Rfam family "Bacterial small subunit ribosomal RNA", at positions 524 to 776 of the family's 1533-position model. The record is from RNAcentral.